GGGGAAUCUUACCGGGUCCGGACAUACUGAGGAUUGACAGGCGAAUGUAGUUUUAAUUUUAUUAUUACUGCAAUAAAUAUGCUAGUCCUUUCAUGAUUGUGUGAUAGGUGGUGCAUGGCCGUUCUUAGUUCGUGGAGUGAUCUGUCUGCUUAAUUGCGUUUCACAAUGGAUUUUUUUACUUUGCCUGUUGCGCGUAAAUAUUGUUUUAAUCGACAUAUUUAUUGUGCACGGUAAUUAUAAGAUCUUGAAGGCAACGAACGUGACCGUAUAANAUCUUGAAGGCAACGA
Molecule: ribosomal RNA, 288 nt
Filed under: Allogromiina sp. 1173
Lineage: Eukaryota; Foraminifera; Allogromiidae
Description: partial 18S ribosomal RNA
Rfam family: Eukaryotic small subunit ribosomal RNA
Source: RNAcentral